AAAAAGGCCCUUUUCAGGGCCAUACAAAUAAUUUAAUAAGAUUCG
Stegodyphus mimosarum is the source of this 45-nucleotide non-coding RNA. The record is from Rfam. NCBI's taxonomy places the organism in Eukaryota, Metazoa, Arthropoda, Arachnida, Araneae, Eresidae.